GACGAACGCUGGCGGCGUGCUUAACACAUGCAAGUCGAACGGAAAGGCCCUGCUUUUGUGGGGUGCUCGAGUGGCGAACGGGUGAGUAACACGUGAGUAACCUGCCCUUGACUUUGGGAUAACUUCAGGAAACUGGGGCUAAUACCGGAUAGGAGCUCCUGCUGCAUGGUGGGGGUUGGAAAGUUUCGGCGGUUGGGGAUGGACUCGCGGCUUAUCAGCUUGUUGGUGGGGUAGUGGCUUACCAAGGCCUUGACGGGUAGCCGGCCUGAGAGGGUGACCGGCCACAUUGGGACUGAGAUACGGCCCAGACUCCUACGGGAGGAAGCAGUGGAGAAUAAUGCACAAUGGGCGGAAGCCUGAUGCAACAACGCCGCGUGCGGGAUGACGGCCUUCGGGUUGUAAACCGCUUUCGCCUGUGACGAAGAGUGUGUGACGGUAAUGGGUAAAGAAGCACCGGCUAACUACGUG
RNAcentral lists this ribosomal RNA (468 nucleotides) under uncultured bacterium. Its description in RNAcentral is "partial 16S ribosomal RNA". It matches the Rfam family "Bacterial small subunit ribosomal RNA", at positions 28 to 507 of the family's 1533-position model. The record is from RNAcentral.